Molecule: non-coding RNA, 99 nt
Organism: Bombyx mori (domestic silkworm)
Lineage: Eukaryota; Metazoa; Arthropoda; Insecta; Lepidoptera; Bombycidae
Source: RefSeq, marked provisional
UUUGCUGGACUGUCUAUAAUGUCUUUCAACAAUAGCUAUUACUUCUCCAGAAGACAUUCACAUUCUGUCACUGGGAAUGUAAUAGCUAUUUCCAAAAUU